Molecule: ribosomal RNA, 502 nt
Filed under: uncultured Glomus
Lineage: Eukaryota; Fungi; Glomeromycota; Glomeromycetes; Glomerales; Glomeraceae
Description: SSU rRNA
Rfam family: Eukaryotic small subunit ribosomal RNA
Source: RNAcentral
AGCAGCCGCGGUAAUUCCAGCUCCAAUAGCGUAUAUUAAAGUUGUUGCAGUUAAAAAGCUCGUAGUUGAAUUUCGGGGUUAGCAGGUCGGUCGUGCCAUCGGUAUGAACUGGUCUCGCUGAUCCCUCCCUCUUGACGAACUGUGAUGCCAUUAAUUUGGUGUCGCAGGGAAUCAGGACUGUUACUUUGAAAAAUUAGAGUGUUUAAAGCAGGCUCACGCUUGAAUACAUUAGCAUGGAAUAAUGAAAUAGGACGUUUGAUCCUAUUUUGUUGGUUUCUAGGAUUGACGUAAUGAUUAAUAGGGAUAGUUGGGGGUCAUUAGUAUUCAAUUGUCAGAGGUGAAAUUCUUGGAUUUAUUGAAGACUAACUACUGCGAAAGCAUUUGCCAAGGAUGUUUUCAUUAAUCAAGAACGAAAGUUAGGGGAUCGAAGACGAUCAGAUACCGUCGUAGUCUUAACCAUAAACUAUGCCGACUAGGGAUCGGAUGAUGUAAUUUUUAAUGA